GACUUUGCUUUUAUAUUAUUAUAUUACACUACUACUUUUGGAGCCCUCAACCUUAUAAACUCACACACCUUAUUUUUUGUCAAUAACUUCUCUUGAGAAUGUCCAUGUCAAGCAAAAUAAGCUGGAAAUGUACAAGUUAUGAUAGAAGUGGAGGAGGAAAGAACCGUGAAGAUUGAACUAUCUGAUUGAAAGAGUAAUAAUUAGAGCACGAUUUCAGCAAUGAUUUACAGGUACUAUCACAGUAUCACUAGCUAUUUCUUGGUCCUGAAGGCCAGCCAUAUAUUUAUCCUCAUCCAUUAACCUUUUCUGGCUGCAGAUUCGUCAAUUACUCCCGAUAUAACUUCACAUGACUCGGAGGCAGACGAUGCACUAAUAGGAGUACUGUUUUGCUGGCCUUAUCGAACCGGAGCAAGUCUUGCAAAUUGAAGAAUUUGCGAGCAACUUCAAGGGAAAGUCUCAUUCUUCGGUCUCUAGGACCGUGAGCUGUGUUAAUCUUGGAGUGUCUAUCUUUCUUUGUAGCAGC
Molecule: long non-coding RNA, 523 nt
Organism: Lycium ferocissimum
Lineage: Eukaryota; Viridiplantae; Streptophyta; Magnoliopsida; Solanales; Solanaceae
Exons: 5
Source: RefSeq, a predicted model, not a curated record